UACGUAGGGUGCGAGCGUUAAUCGGAAUUACUGGGCGUAAAGCGUGCGCAGGCGGUGAUGUAAGACAGUUGUGAAAUCCCCGGGCUCAACCUGGGAACUGCAUCUGUGACUGCAUCGCUGGAGUGCGGCAGGGGGGGAUGGAAUUCCGCGUGUAGCAGUGAAAUGCGUAGAUAUGCGGAGGAACACCGAUGGCGAAGGCAAUCCCCUGGGCCUGCACUGACGCUCAUGCACGAAAGCGUGGGGAGCAAACAGG
Molecule: ribosomal RNA, 253 nt
Filed under: uncultured bacterium
Lineage: Bacteria
Description: partial 16S ribosomal RNA
Rfam family: Bacterial small subunit ribosomal RNA
Source: RNAcentral